This is a long non-coding RNA of Chelonus insularis, 903 nucleotides long. RefSeq lists it as uncharacterized. NCBI's taxonomy places the organism in Eukaryota, Metazoa, Arthropoda, Insecta, Hymenoptera, Braconidae. The transcript has 3 exons. The record is from RefSeq and is a predicted model, not a curated record.
UUCAUUUCUCUUUACUAUGAAUAAUGUAUGCUGUUAACAUAGUUUUAAUUAUAGUACAUGAUAAAAAUAUAAAUAAAUUAUUAACAUUCACUGAAGAAGAGGUUAUAAUGCUAAUCUGAAGAAUUGUUGGGAUAUUCCCAUUUGAAAUCGAGAUAUCAAUUAAAUAAAAAGGAAGUUGUUCAUUCAGGGUUUUUCGAUUUGCGGUAAUUAUCACCUGAAAAUGCAUGUUCACUUUAUCUUAUCUUAUCUUGCAGAAAGUUGUAUAACAUGGAGUUGCCAUGAGUACCGGGUACCCUUUUCUCAAAUUAUCCUUAUCGCUGUACAUCAAGCUGGGUCAUAAAAGAGACAAUGGGAUUCCAAGUUCAAGUCAAAAUACAACCAGGAAGGUAUGAAAAUGAGAUAUGGUUUUGACUGGUGCUAUUCAUCUACUGCUAUUAUCAUAACCCAAUGAAAAGACUAACAAAAUAAAGAGAAACUGCUUUAAUAAUUAUCAAUGAUUCUCAGCUUGUACUAGAGACUUGAUACAGGAAAUAAAGGAACCUUUUGAAGACAAAUGCAGAGGAUUAAAGUUUUUUAAUUGUGCUAAAUAGUUAUCUGGCUGAACUAUCAAUCAAAAGUAAGAUGACAAUUCCUAAAUGAAUUCAUUCUUUAAUCUUUUUUAGAAAAUUUAUCAAGUGAUAUAUUUCACUUAUUAAUAAUAGUUAUCAAAUUAAAAGAUAGUAUCAUUAAAGAUAAUUUUAUGAUAAAAAGAAAAGAUAUUUAAUAUUUCAAAUUCGGUCUGGUAGUAUUGAGUUUAGCAGGAGGUCAAAGAGGUCUUUACUUCAGUUAAGAAGUUAAGGCUUACUAAUAAAUCACUUUUCCUUCAUUAUAAUAAUGCUAAUUACAAGAAUAUAUUAAAUUUCA